CGCUUGGAAGGGGGGAUCGGUGAGGAAGAAGCACCCCGCAGGACACGGUUCCCGCUUGGAAGGGGGGGUGGGGGACGGACAGAGCACACCGCAGGGCAGGUUUCCCGCUUGGAAGGGGGGGUGGGGGACGGACAGAGCACACCGCAGGGCAGGUUUCCCGCUUGGAAGGGGGGGUGGGGGACGGACAGAGCACACCGCAGGGCAGGUUUCCCGCUUGGAAGGGGGGGUGGGGGACGGACAGAGCACACCGCAGGGCAGGUUUCCCACUUGGAAGGGGGGGUGGGGGACGGACAGAGCACACCGCAGGGCAGGUUUCACGCUUGGAAGGGGGGAUCGGUGAGGAAGAAGCACCCCGCAGGACACGGUUCCCGCUUGGAAGGGGGGGUGGGGGACGGACAGAGCACACCGCAGGGCAGGUUUCCCGCUUGGAAGGGGGGGUGGGGGACGGACAGAGCACACCGCAGGGCAGGUUUCACGCUUGGAAGGGGGGAUCGGUGAGGAAGAAGCACCCCGCAGGACACGGUUCCCGCUUGGAAGGGGGGGUGGGGGACGGACAGAGCACACCGCAGGGCAGGUUUCACGCUUGGAAGGGGGAAUCGAUGAGGAAGAAGCACCCCGCAGGACACGGUUCCCGCUUGGAAGGGGGGGUGGGGGACGGACAGAGCACACCGCAGGGCAGGUUUCCCGCUUGGAAGGGGGGAUCGGUGAGGAAGAAGCACCCCGCAGGACACGGUUCCCGCUUGGAAGGGGGGGUGGGGGACGGACAGAGCACACCGCAGGGCAGGUUUCACGCUUGGAAGGGGGGGUGGGGGACGG
This is a long non-coding RNA of Gopherus flavomarginatus (Mexican gopher tortoise), 816 nucleotides long. RefSeq lists it as uncharacterized. The record is from RefSeq and is a predicted model, not a curated record. The transcript is spliced from 6 exons. Lineage: Eukaryota; Metazoa; Chordata; Testudines; Testudinidae.